Non-coding RNA from Arachis ipaensis, 1456 nucleotides. NCBI's taxonomy places the organism in Eukaryota, Viridiplantae, Streptophyta, Magnoliopsida, Fabales, Fabaceae. The record is from RefSeq and is a predicted model, not a curated record.
CAAUAAAACCCUAAUUUCUUUUCCUGUAAACUCACUACACUCCCCUCUCUAUCCACAGGGCCACCACCACCUACUCCAUUCUUUUCUGAUCUUCGCCGUCGCUGUCACCGUCCAGCCCAGCACUCGCUACCAAUCUCCGCCCAUAUCCCGACAUCGUUCUUAGCCUCUCUCUCCUCGUCGUUCAUUCGCAGUAUCCCUCUUCUCUCUUCGAGUCGUUCGUUAUCAGCCUUAGUGCGCCAUCGUUCUCUCUGCCAUCGUCGUGGCACCCGCGGGCGUCGUCGUUCUCACUCCUCAGCGGCCUCAUCCUUAGCAGGCAUAGAGCUGUGGCGUGGAUCUCAGCGAGUUGAGCGUCGACGUCAGCGCCGUGGUGCUCCGUCUCCCCCCUUUAUCCUCCACUUCCAAAGUUCCAAUGGAGUCUCAGCCUCAAUGGCACCAAAAUGGUGUUGCCACCUAAUGAUUGGAAACAACCAGUUGGUGAGGCAGCUGGCCUCUUAGGACAAGCUCUUGGACAAUUGGGUGCCAAUUUUGCUCCUGAUCUCCAUUUCAAACCUUGUGAAUUUGAAGCAUUGAUUAGAGUGGUUCCAGAUGCUGCAAGGGAAUCUCAUGAUCAGUUAUACAUUGCCAUGGAUAUUUCUCUAAAGGUUCAUGCAGGAAUAAGUGAUCAUGAAAACAUGAGAAUAUGUUCCACAUUGAAGCAUGAAAAGUUGUCAGCUGAAGCUGUGAGACAUCUUAGUAGGAAAACUUAACUUAUUGCUUGAGAUUAGUUUACUUGUCAAGCAGAUCAAGUCCUGGUGCAGAAGUUAAAAUUCAUUUCACUUCCUGUAAAGUAUUAGAUGAAACUUCAAUAAGAAAUGCAUAUGCAAUGGGAAAGGUGAGGAUGGCAGCUUCUGAGUUUGAAAUUGUAACUAGAGUAGUGAAAAACCGGAAUGCCUCUGAGUGCACAGAGUCCAGUGGAUUUGUGCUCUGGCAGAUGAAACAAAAAUGGGCAUUCUGUGGUAACUCUUUUCAGGUUUGGGGAGAUGGCUAUGAGCCAUACCAAAACAAAAAUGGAUGAGGCAUGGACAAUUGAAGAGGUUGCAUUCAAUGUCCCAGGUCUCUCAGUAGAUUGCUUCAUUCCUCGGUAGAUUUGAGGACAGGUUCUGUCAGUUAAGCAUUGGAGAAAUUUCAUAAUUGCAGUGUUGAUAAUAUGAUCUGGAAGAUGAAAAUCUAACAAUGCGGUUAGAAACAUCAUCAAUUCAGACCAAUUAUUAAUAGCAGUCACUAGUUUUUUUUACUAUUAACGUCUAGAAUUUGAUGUACCCAUCAUACCUUUUCUAAUAUAUAUGAAUUUCGUUUGUAUUUUGAUGCUGUUUAUUAUUACUUCUCAAAAAAUGAAAUGUACACACUCCAUUGAUUGUCUAUUCAAGAAGUUUAUGCAUUGUUCACAAUAAUCAUAAAUGACUUGCUUACAAGCCCA